AGGACGAACGCUGGCGGCGUGCUUAACACAUGCAAGUCGAACGGUGAAGCCUUCGGGUGGAUCAGUGGCGAACGGGUGAGUAACACGUGGGCAAUCUGCCCUGCACUCUGGGACAAGCCCUGGAAACGGGGUCUAAUACCGGAUAUUACCUGGGAGGGCAUCUUCCCGGGUGUAAAGCUCCGGCGGUGCAGGAUGAGCCCGCGGCCUAUCAGCUUGUUGGUGGGGUGAUGGCCUACCAAGGCGACGACGGGUA
Molecule: ribosomal RNA, 253 nt
Filed under: uncultured bacterium
Lineage: Bacteria
Description: partial small subunit ribosomal RNA
Rfam family: Bacterial small subunit ribosomal RNA
Source: RNAcentral